This 497-nucleotide ribosomal RNA is filed under the name uncultured bacterium. RNAcentral describes it as "partial 16S ribosomal RNA". It matches the Rfam family "Bacterial small subunit ribosomal RNA", at positions 28 to 507 of the family's 1533-position model. The record is from RNAcentral.
GACGAACGCUGGCGGCGUGCCUAAUACAUGCAAGUUGAGCGAUGAAGAUUGGUGCUUGCACCAAUUUGAAGAGCAGCGAACGGGUGAGUAACGCGUGGGGAAUCUGCCUUUGAGCGGGGGACAACAUUUGGAAACGAAUGCUAAUACCGCAUAACAACUUUAAACAUAAGUUUUAAGUUUGAAAGAUGCAAUUGCAUCACUCAAAGAUGAUCCCGCGUUGUAUUAGCUAGUUGGUGAGGUAAAGGCUCACCAAGGCGAUGAUACAUAGCCGACCUGAGAGGGUGAGAGGCCACAUUGGGACUGAGACACGGCCCAAACUCCUACGGGAGGCAGCAGUAGGGAAUCUUCGGCAAUGGACGAAAGUCUGACCGAGCAACGCCGCGUGAGGGAAGAAGGUUUUCGGAUCGUAAAACUCUGUUGGUAGAGAAGAAAGUUGGUGAGAGUGGAAAGCUCAUCAAGUGACGGUAACUACCCAGAAAGGGACGGCUAACUACGUG